CCUUUAGCCUUAGAGCAAGAACCUAGAAGCCUUAAACUCAUAUCUUAGACCAACAAAACAAUUAGAAACCCACUUUGGAAGGGAGUUUACGGCCAAGAUGCUCCUUAGGCCGUAAACUCCAAGAUUUAGGGCCAAAACCCCUUCAAACUCUUCCUAGGGCUUAGUCUUCAUUUUUAGCAAGCACCUUAAUGGGUUUAGGACCUAGAAAAAUCAUGAAAAGCUCAAGUGUUGAAGAGUUUACGGCCAAGAGUAUUUCUUGGGCCGUAAACUCCUUUAAAGGGGUCAAAGGACACCCUAGACACUUCCUUAGGCCAAGAGACUUUUAGGGCAAGUACCUAGAUGAGUUUUGGGCUAGUUAAAAUUCUUAGAACCUCAUGUGUGAGGGAGUUUACGGCCCAAAGAGUUCUAUGGCCGUAAACUCCAUCAAAUGGUUCCAUUUAAUGCCAUAAACCUCCCUUGAUCCAAGUAUUGAAGCCUAGACUUGUUCCUAGAAAUGUUAGAGACUUGAAAGGACAAUAAGAACCCUCCCAAGGGAGUUUACGGCCGUAAACUCCAAGGGAAAAGGGUCUUUGGGCCGUAAACUCCCCAAAGGAGUCAAUGUGGUGCCCAAACACUUGUAUAGCCUUGAAACAAUUCCCCUCUAAGGUUGUAGUACUUCUAAACUCCAUUUCAUGACUUGUUUGAGAGUUUACGGCCAGGAGCUUACUCCCCUGGGCCGUAAACUCUAAUGAAUAUGGUCUUUUGACCUUAAACUUUCAUUAGGGGCAUUGCACUUCUUUGUUGCAACCCAUUAGCCUCCUAGCACUUGACCAAAAGUGUUGUCCUCGCGCUUAAAUGUUAUUACUUGUAUAAUUAGUGUUAUAAUCACUAAUUAUUUAUAUACAUAUGUUUCAUAUGUAAUUAGGAUCAUUGUGUGUGUCUAAGUCUUCACUUGACACCAAGCACUUGUCUGAUCCUUCCGUACGAUAACAGCCCGUUCAAUUCCAGUCACAUACUGCAGGUGAGUUCAUACCCCUUAACUGUGACAACCCGAAAUUUUCCAUUCAAAUCAAACCACAUCAAUCCAAUGGAAGUAGAGCAGUUUCAGUGAAAAUUCAAACUUUUGGAAUAAGUUUGGCAGUUUUAGGGUUUUACACCUAAGGAGUUAUUAGGAGAGUGGGUGCACUAGGAUUUUGUGCAACACUGUAAUUCCAUUACUCUAGGUCAUUAGAAUCCAUUCCGAGAAUAGAAAUAUUUUCUGCCAAAAAUCUCUGGACUAUAAAUAGAAUUCUGAACCAAAUUGGUUCAUUAUUUGAUUUCCAUUUAGAGAAAAGCCAAAUACUCUCUCACGGAUCUUCGGGUUUUCAUCCCAGAUUGUGAGUCUACUUCCCUAAAUGUGUUUUAAUACUUGUUAUAUGCUUUAUAACAUUGUUUACAUGUCCAAAACACAAGAUCCGGGAGUUUACCGCCCAAGAACGUUCUUGGGGAGUAAACUCCAAAAUCAAGCCUAAAGGCCACCUAGUCCCAUUUCCGUGUUAGGCAUCUAACUAAGGACUUAGUGUAUGAUCAUUAGAGGCUAGAAACAAAUCAAAAGCAAGUAGUUUGAGGAGUUUACGGCCAAGGAACAACCUCUUGGGCCGUAAACUCCAAGUAAAGGGCACAAAUGAGUGCCUAGUGUUCCUUUAGCCUUAGAACAAGAACCUAGAAGCCUUAAACUCAUGAUUUAGACCCACAAAACAAUUAGAAACCAACUUUGGAAGGGAGUUUACGGCCAAGAUGCUCCUUAGGCCGUAAACUCCAAGAUUAAGUGCCAAAACCACUUCAAACUCUUCCUAAGGCUUAGUCUUCAUUUUUGGCUAGUACCUUAAUGUGUUUAGGACCUAGAAAAAUCAUGAAAAGCUCAAGUGUUGAAGAGUUUACGGCCAAGAGUAUUUCUUGGGCCGUAAACUCCUUUAAAGGGGUCAAAGGACACCCUAGACACUUCCUUAGGCCAAGAGACUUUUAGGGCAAGUA
This 1992-nucleotide long non-coding RNA is filed under the name Lactuca sativa (garden lettuce). RNAcentral describes it as "long non-coding RNA (LSAT_LNC006546)". The record is from RNAcentral. Lineage: Eukaryota; Viridiplantae; Streptophyta; Magnoliopsida; Asterales; Asteraceae.